AGCAAACCUCAGAAAGCCAAUCUCAGUUCGGAUUGUAGGCUGCAACUCGCCUACAUGAAGUUGGAAUCGCUAGUAACCGCGAAUCAGAAUGUCGCGGUGAAUACGUUCCCGGGUCUUGUACACACCGCCCGUCACACCACGAGAGUUUACAACACCCGAAGUCAGUGGCCUAACCGCAAGGAGGGAGCUGCCUAAGGUGGGGUAGAUGAUUGGGGUGAAGUCGUAACAAGGUAGC
This 235-nucleotide ribosomal RNA is filed under the name uncultured bacterium. RNAcentral's name for it is "partial 16S ribosomal RNA". It matches the Rfam family "Bacterial small subunit ribosomal RNA", at positions 1266 to 1500 of the family's 1533-position model. The record is from RNAcentral.